This 253-nucleotide ribosomal RNA is filed under the name uncultured bacterium. Its description in RNAcentral is "partial 16S ribosomal RNA". It matches the Rfam family "Bacterial small subunit ribosomal RNA", at positions 524 to 776 of the family's 1533-position model. The record is from RNAcentral.
AACGUAGGAGACAAACGUUAUCCGGAGUUACUGGGCGUAAAGGGCGUGUAGGUGGUUUCGUAAGUCUGGCGUGAAAUUUUUCGGCUUAACCGGGAAAGGUCGUCGGAUACUGUGGGACUAGAGGACGGUAGAGGCGUGUGGAAUUCCGGGUGUAGUGGUGAAAUGCGUAGAGAUCCGGAGGAACACCAGUGGCGAAGGCGACACGCUGGGCCGUACCUGACACUGAUGCGCGACAGCAUGGGGAGCAAACAGG